Non-coding RNA from Phoenix dactylifera (date palm), 1625 nucleotides. Lineage: Eukaryota; Viridiplantae; Streptophyta; Magnoliopsida; Arecales; Arecaceae. The record is from RefSeq and is a predicted model, not a curated record.
GCGUCAAGAAACCUCUCAUCAGGCGGGUAUCCAAGGUUAUGCGAGACCGGUCCUCGCAAGUGUCUCCCAUCGGUCAAAUGAGGCUUAUUAGCCUCGCUACUCCCCGUAACGAUCCCUCCCUUUCUUCCGUUCCGGUCGCUCCCUCCCUCGUCAUGGCCUUCGCAGCAACAAGAUUCCCCCAGGUUCUUUUAUUUAUCCCUGAAUUGGAUCUUGCAUUCCUUGUCUUUCCGUCGUGGGAAAGCAAUUUCUCGUGAUCGUUGGUUCCUUACGCUAAUUUGCUGGUCGAUUCGGUGCCAGAUAGUUUAGAUAUCAAGAAUGACUUAGAAGGAUGGGAAAAAUGGGAAAUAUUAGUCAGACAUGCCUGUUAAGCGCGAUUCUUGAUGGAAAUAUAUUCUAUGGGAAGAUGCAGUUGGUGGUGUAAGGGAAAGCGGUAAGAGAAUGAUUACAUGACUCCGAUGCACACAAGGGAAGAUAAUUCAGAAAGGCUGAUAAAAAAGUGCUUGCACAGAUUGAAAACCAUUAUUAUUUGUGAACAAAGGAUUUUCCCCUCUGAUUCAUACCUGUUUGAUAAUGUUGACAAGAUUCAGCAUAUCAGAAUUGUAGUUGUUCAGGUAUUUGUUGCUUCUUUUACACAGCUAAUGUGAUGCAGCACUUAGAACUGCUGGUUCACCAAGUGUUGUUACCAGAUGGUGAUGAUAUAGCAAUUACAUGAGGUAAAUUCACUCUCUUACAAUUGAGUAGAAACUAAGAUUAUCUGCUGCAUUUAGGCAGUCUACUGCUACCCUUCGAAUCUUGAACCUUCUAUAUCUGUGUGUAUCAAUACACUGCAUAUGCAGCAGUCUCUGGCAAAUUAACAUACUUCAAAAGCAAAUCUAAUUUUAGAAAUUUGUCUUAUGUUGAUUUUAUUUUCAAUUAAGUAAACGUGCUGUCAAGUGAAAUGACAAGGUCUUUACUGUUUAUCUUUUUGGUGAACUUGGAGUAUUUUUUUUUUAAAAAUUCUUGUGCUUUUAUUUUAGUUCUCUGCAAGAAGGAAGCACUAAGCAUCAUAUAGUUGCGGUAGCUUUAUGGUGUGAUAACCACGAGAUUCAGUGCCUUGUUCAGUUGUACCUCAUUCAAUAUCUGAUGGAGGACCACUGCAGGAGGAAGAGGGAAGGAGGAGGAAGAAGAGAAAGAGAGGAGGAAAAGAUAAGAAGAAGAAGGAGGUUAGGAUUUUUAUUCAAUCAUUCAAUAUCCCAAUUCAUGAGAGGGGUGGCCUUUAUAUAGACCUUACAUCAUGAAUUGACCAAGUCAAUUAAUUGACAACUAACCAAACUUGGACCCUUCAAUCAACUGACUAAGUCAAUUAAUUGAUGACAUACCAAAAUCGAUCCAAUCACUCGACCCAAUACAUGACUCAAUUGACUUGAUUAAUAACAAAACAACUGAUCAAAUUGAUUUGACUAAAACAAAAGCAAAUAGUGCAAUAAAAUAAAAGUAACUCAGACUCAAAUGGAUCCAAUCUAGGUCUGACUCAAUCGGGUAGCUCAAGAUCAUCUUCGAGCCAUAAUGAUGUCAAUCCCUGGUGCGAACGUGAGCGAACGACUCUGAUGGCUCGAUCGCCUGAUCGAAUGGCUCUGAUGUCCCCA